This 1234-nucleotide long non-coding RNA is filed under the name Rosa chinensis. Its description in RNAcentral is "sRNA RchiOBHm_Chr2g0160011". The record is from RNAcentral. Lineage: Eukaryota; Viridiplantae; Streptophyta; Magnoliopsida; Rosales; Rosaceae.
GCUCAGCUCUCUCUCGACCCUAAACGAAAUCUCAGUCCUCUCUUAAACCUAGAAACCCAUCUCUCUUACAAACCCAUCUCGAUCUCAGUCUUCUCUCAAUCCUCUCUCAGUCCUCUCUCACACUCUCUCGCAGCCGAUUUGGAUUGCCAUUGAAUUCGUUGAAGCAGAGAACCAAGCUUGAAUUCAACUUCACGUCCGCCACAAUAACCAGUCUCCACCAAAAUCUGAGUCACUGAUGAUGGCGCCACAGUAAAACCCACCUCUCAAUUCUCCGACUUGGCGUAUUGGGUUCGAUUUUCUUCAGUAUUUAGAGGACGUUGUCACCAAGAGGCUAGAACGCAGAACGAAGGUUGGAAUAGUCGGGGAAUACGGUAUUAUCUAAAUUCUUUUGUUCUGUUCUAUGUAAUGGCUUGUAUAUAAUUUGAGAUUUACAAACCCAGUUAUGGAGUGGUGACCAGUAGAAGGCAUCUUAUUAAAAACUGAUAUGCAAGACCGAUCACUCAUUCAAGAAUCAGAUUUGGAGUUCCAAAAGCUUAAGUGAUCUUUUUGAGCAAAUGAGGCAGAUUAGGUUAGGGAUUUGGGGAAACCUAAUUGGGUUGUACAAGUUUGCUGCCAUAUUACUGAUUCUAUCAGUUUGUGCGUAAGGUUGAACAAGUCACGGCCACGAAACUAAUCAAGUAAGAAUGCUUAGGGAAGAACUACAGCUUCUGCAAGAGCCUACACAAAGGUACUUGCUGCAUUCAUAUCCUGAUACAGUUGGAAAAGAGUUCAUUUUGAAGUAAGGAAUUCCUUCAUUGCAUGAUGUUUGAUAUUAAGAUUCUAUUAGGUAGACAUCAUUAUACAUCAUAAGUGGGUUCGAUAGCUAGGUGUCAUUUGAUUGUGCUCUGAAUUGUCUAGUCUAGUCAUUUGAUUCGUUAUCUGAAGCCCAUUAGAAAGAUUAUAGUAUCUGCUAUUCAGAACUUUCCAAUAAGAAUGAAGACUUGUUGCAAGAAGCUUUUCAGUAAUCAUUGUUUUUGCAUGAGCUAUGAAUGUCAUAGCAUCUCCUUGUCUUCGUUGGACAUCAUCAUUUGCAUUCUGGUAGGUUCUUAGUAUCUCUGAGUCACUGAUAGGGUAACCUCAAUUGGAAUCACUUUAUCUUUUAAUUACAGGUAUUGAUCCUGUGAUUCAUCCCCAUAUAUUCUCUCCCAGAUAGCAACAAGUUUAAUUUAAAUAAAGUUUCAAUUGAAUAUUUUCU